RNAcentral lists this ribosomal RNA (441 nucleotides) under Planorbella trivolvis. Its description in RNAcentral is "partial large subunit ribosomal RNA". The stretch from base 1 to 132 matches the Rfam family "Archaeal large subunit ribosomal RNA", at positions 1908 to 2084 of the family's 2987-position model. Lineage: Eukaryota; Metazoa; Mollusca; Gastropoda; Planorbidae. The record is from RNAcentral.
AGUUUAAAGAUAAUAAAUUUUAAAUGAAUCCUGCCCAGUGAAUAAUUUUUAAAUGGCCGCAGUACCUUGACUGUGCUAAGGUAGCAUAAUCAAUUGGCUUUUAAUUAGAGUCUGGAAUGAAUGGAAUAAUGAAAUAAAGCUGUCUUAAAUUUAUUUUUAUAAACUUAUUUAUAAGGUGAAAAUACCUUAGUUUUUAGAAAAAAGACGAGAAGACCCUUAGAGUUUUUAAUAUAUAAAUAAUUAAUAUUUAUAUUUUUUUGUUGGGGCGACAAGUAAACAUUUUAAACUUUACGUUUUUAUAUUACGAUUUUAUUAAGAUAAAAAAAACUACCUUAGGGAUAACAGCAUUAUUUAUUAAUGAGAUUGUGACCUCGAUGUUGGACUAGGAACUUUAUGGCUAGCCGUCAAAUAAGAUUUGUUCUGUUCGAACAAUAUUAUCCU